ACAUAAGAAAGCCAAGAAAAAAGGCAAGACCACCUGUUUCAAACCAAAGCUGUUCACCCAACAAAGCCUCCUCAACAGCCAAUGCAGUGAAGUUAACAUCUAAGCAGGAGAGCAAACAACAGGCUGAUGAACUGCAUGAGUGGUCACCUGCUGAGCUCUCCUACCCCCUUGUGAUGCUGAUGAAGACCUGCGCUAUAGCUCUUCUGCAAUUCCUUCCACUUCCUAAAGCGGGUGAAUCACGUCUGACAUCAGCACCGCGCUGCUCGUUUCACUAAUAUUUAUUCAACAUGACGGAUUCAUCAUGUAAAUGGUUUGCUAUUUCCUCCCAAUCACUUUAUACAGCCUGCGUAGGUGAGUCACACCAACAGAUAACUAGCAGCACGGAGCACAAGCAGGGACAGAAAGCUGCUCCAGCAGCUGUGGAAACACCCAGCUGGAGGUAUUCAAAGUCCCCGCUGCAUGCUGAUGAAGAGACAUCAAAAAGAGAGGUCUCCCUGGAACCAUUUCUAAGCAGCCAUGAAGAGACACUUGCAUGGUCACACAUCUAAAGCGGAGGUCACCACGUAGGGUAGCAGCAGUCGCACACAGGAUGGUUUUACUCUUCCUGUUCUGUUCACGGAGCGGUUCGGGGACAGCAAUGAGCAGAGUUGCUGAACAACCAUCCUUCAGCACUUUUUAACUGAGAGGGGAUUUGACAAUGGGUAAGAAGGACUGAAGUCAUUUCUAAGGAUGCAAACAAUGCUGAAGACCACAAGACCACAGCACGGACGUCGGACGCAAGCCUCAAGCACAAAUUUUCCAUCGCUGUUUAAAAUGCUCUCCCUGUUGCUUUACAUUACUGCUCUAACCAGAACACGAGUUAUUUACUCGUGUUAUGUACCUCCGGGAGGAUCUUUGUUGUUUUUCUUUUGAAGUCGCUAACUGAACACCGUUCUGCACUGGAACAUAAAAUCUCUACAAAGACAGAAA
Molecule: non-coding RNA, 969 nt
Organism: Anas platyrhynchos (mallard)
Lineage: Eukaryota; Metazoa; Chordata; Aves; Anseriformes; Anatidae
Source: RefSeq, a predicted model, not a curated record